CGUGCGCCACUACAGCAGUUGAAGCUGCCAGCAUGAUCUCAACUUUUGCUCUCCCUCAGAGCGCAAAGAUGAAAGAUCAUCUGGCAGUUUCACCUUUUGUUGGCUCCACG
RNAcentral lists this microRNA precursor (110 nucleotides) under Linum usitatissimum (flax). RNAcentral's name for it is "miR167a stem-loop (lus-MIR167a)". Its record names the gene lus-MIR167a. The stretch from base 7 to 104 matches the Rfam family "MIR167 microRNA precursor family". The record is from miRBase by way of RNAcentral. Lineage: Eukaryota; Viridiplantae; Streptophyta; Magnoliopsida; Malpighiales; Linaceae.